Molecule: unclassified non-coding RNA, 151 nt
Filed under: uncultured fungus
Lineage: Eukaryota; Fungi
Description: sequence contains ITS1
Source: RNAcentral
GUCAUUUUUAAGGUCACAAUUUAAACUUUGUCAAACUUACAAGCGUAAACAUCAAGGCCUCGCGGCCUUGUGCUAAUGUGCCAGCCCCCCCCUAGCGGGAGGAACCAACUCGAGAUUUGUAAUGAUCCUUCCGCAGGUUCACCUACGGAAA